Xylariaceae sp. FL0594 is the source of this 102-nucleotide non-coding RNA. The record is from the annotation of a GenBank genome assembly. NCBI's taxonomy places the organism in Eukaryota, Fungi, Ascomycota, Sordariomycetes, Xylariales, Xylariaceae.
UCCGAAUUGGUGUAGUGGCUAACAUUUGACGCUCUCACCUUUCACCCUCGGGGUUUAAGAUUGGGCACCGUCAAGCCCGGGGUUCGAUUCCCCGAUUCGGAG